UACGUAGGGGGCAAGCGUUGUCCGGAAUCAUUGGGCGUAAAGCGCGUGUAGGCGGCUAGAUAAGUCUGCUCUGAAAGCCCGGGGCUCAACCCCGGGAGGCGGGUGGAUACUGUCUAGCUCGAGUCCGGAAGAGGAGUGUGGAAUUCCUGGUGUAGCGGUGAAAUGCGCAGAUAUCAGGAGGAACACCAAUGGCGAAGGCAGCUCGCUGGGACGGUACUGACGCUGAGACGCGAAAGCGUGGGGAGCAAACAGG
This 253-nucleotide ribosomal RNA is filed under the name uncultured bacterium. RNAcentral describes it as "partial 16S ribosomal RNA". It matches the Rfam family "Bacterial small subunit ribosomal RNA", at positions 524 to 776 of the family's 1533-position model. The record is from RNAcentral.